This 284-nucleotide unclassified non-coding RNA is filed under the name fungal sp. RNAcentral's name for it is "partial internal transcribed spacer region". The stretch from base 1 to 46 matches the Rfam family "Eukaryotic small subunit ribosomal RNA", at positions 1786 to 1831 of the family's 1831-position model. The record is from RNAcentral. Lineage: Eukaryota; Fungi.
AAGUCGUAACAAGGUUUCCGUAGGUGAACCUGCGGAAGGAUCAUUAGUAGUAGAGCGUGAGUUUAAAAGUGAAGGCGUGAGCCUGAACUUUUAAGCGAACGAGCGAGGGCGACAGCCUGAGCAGAGGGUGGAGGGUGGAGUGAAGUGGAGGUGUAUCACAUGGUACUACCAGCACCCACUCCCAUCCACACCCAGUCACGGGCGCUCGCAGGAGCGCCUUGUAACAAGUAAUUUACAUCUAAAUCAUACAAGCAAAACUUUUAACAAUGGAUCUCUGGGCUCCU